Molecule: small nuclear RNA, 301 nt
Filed under: Felis catus (domestic cat)
Lineage: Eukaryota; Metazoa; Chordata; Mammalia; Carnivora; Felidae
Description: 7SK RNA
Rfam family: 7SK RNA
About the family: 7SK was discovered as an abundant small nuclear RNA in the mid-70s but a possible function has only recently been suggested. Two independent studies have found that 7SK RNA binds the CDK9/cyclin T complex (known as elongation factor P-TEFb).
Source: Rfam by way of RNAcentral
AGAUGUGAGGGCGAUCUGGCUGUGAUAUCUGUCACCCCAUUGAUUUGAUCGCCAGGGUUGAUUUAGCUGACCUGGCUCGCUAAGCAGGUGUCUCCCUCUUCCCUCACCACUCCAUGUGUGCCCCUCCCAAAGCUGUGUGCUUAGUUGAAAGGGAUGACCUUCCCUGAUAGAGGAGUACUGUUCUUUGGUCAAGGAUAUAUGAGUAGCUACAUUCCCCUGCUAGAAUCCCCAAGACACUCUCAAAGUUAUUGUGAGUUGCAUAAUAUGAUUUCAAAGAAAAGGAAACAUUUGGAAAGUGUCC